UAAGUGAUGGCAGAUCAAUGCAAAGGUUUUAAGAGCCUUUUAUGAGUUUAUUCUCUCAUUUUU
RNAcentral lists this transfer RNA (63 nucleotides) under Oreohelix idahoensis. Its description in RNAcentral is "tRNA-Leu". The record is from RNAcentral. Lineage: Eukaryota; Metazoa; Mollusca; Gastropoda; Stylommatophora; Oreohelicidae.